CCUACGGGAGGCUGUAGUCGAGAAUCAUUCACAAUGGGGGAAACCCUGAUGGUGCGACGCCGCGUGGGGAAUGAAGGUCUUCGGAUUGUAAACCCCUGUCAUGUGGGAGCAAAUUAAAAAGAUAGUACCACAAGAGGAAGAGACGGCUAACUCUGGGCCAGCAGCCGCGGUAUUACAGAGGGCUAAAGCGUUGUUCGGAAUCACUGGGCGUAAAGCGUGCGUAGGCUGGUUUGUAAGUCGUGUGUGAAAGGCGCGGGCUCAACCCCCGGACGGCACAUGAUACUGCGUGACUUGAGUAAUGGAGAGGGAAGCGGAAUUCUCAGUGUAGCAGUGAAAUGCGUAGAUAUCGAGAGGAACACUCGUGGCGAAGGCGGGUUCCUGGACAUUAACUGACGCUGAGGCACGAAGGCCAGGGGAGCGAAAGGGAUUAGAUACCCCUGUAGUC
RNAcentral lists this ribosomal RNA (445 nucleotides) under uncultured bacterium. RNAcentral's name for it is "partial 16S ribosomal RNA". It matches the Rfam family "Bacterial small subunit ribosomal RNA", at positions 338 to 795 of the family's 1533-position model. The record is from RNAcentral.